GACGAACCGAGCGAACGUUGUUCGGAAUCACUGGGCUUAAAGGGCGCGUAGGCGGGCUGUCAAGUCUGGGGUGAAAUCCCGCGGCUCAACCGCGGAACUGCCUCAGAUACUGACGGUCUCGAGGGGGGUAGGGGCAACUGGAAUUCUCGGUGUAGCGGUGAAAUGCGUAGAUAUCGAGAGGAACACCUGCGGCGAAGGCGGGUUGCUGGGCUGACACUGACGCUGAGGCGCGAAAGCCAGGGGAGCGAACGGG
RNAcentral lists this ribosomal RNA (253 nucleotides) under uncultured bacterium. RNAcentral describes it as "partial 16S ribosomal RNA". It matches the Rfam family "Bacterial small subunit ribosomal RNA", at positions 524 to 776 of the family's 1533-position model. The record is from RNAcentral.